Molecule: ribosomal RNA, 762 nt
Filed under: Triticum aestivum (bread wheat)
Lineage: Eukaryota; Viridiplantae; Streptophyta; Magnoliopsida; Poales; Poaceae
Description: partial small subunit ribosomal RNA
Source: RNAcentral
AUGGCGGGCCUCGGGUUCGAGGAGACCGAGCUCCGGCUCGGCCUGCCAGGCGGCAGCAACGAGGCCGAGGAGGCGGCCGCCGCGGUGAGGAGCUCCGGCAAGAGGGGCUACGCCGAGACCAUCGACCUCGUGCUGAAGCUGGAGCCGGCGUCGGCGGCCGCGCCGCCGUCCGAGGACGGCGAGCAAGUGGCCGACGGCGUCGCGGAGGCGCAGCCGUCUCCGGCUGCUGCCGACGGGCAGUUGAAGCGGUCGCCGAGCCAGAGCAGCGUGGUCACCACCCCGCAGCCGGACGCGGACCCCGAGAAGCCGCGCGCGCCCAAGGCGCAGGCGGUGGGGUGGCCGCCGGUGCGGUCGUUCCGGAGGAACAUGCUGGCGGCGGCGGAGAGAGGGGGGGCGGCGCUGGUGAAGGUGAGCAUGGACGGCGCGCCCUACCUGCGCAAGGUGGACAUGGGCACCUACAAGAGCUACCAGGAGCUGUCCAAGGCCCUGGAGAAGAUGUUCAGCUCCUUCACCAUCGGCAACGACUGCUCUCAGGCUCAGGCUCAGGGGAUGACGGGCAUGAACGAGAGCAAGCUGGUGGACCUGCUCAGCGGCUCCGACUACGUGCCCACCUACGAGGACAAGGACGGCGACUGGAUGCUCGUCGGCGACGUCCCCUGGGAGAUGUUCGUGGCGUCGUGCAAGCGCCUCCGGAUAAUGAAGGGAUCAGAAGCCAUCGGCCUCGCGCCAAGGGCAAUGGAGAAAUGCAAGAGCAGGAGCUGA